GACGAACGCUGGCGGCGUGCUUAACACAUGCAAGUCGAACGGAAAGGCCUCUUUCGGGGGGUUCUCGCGUGGCGAACGGGUGAGUAACACGUGAGUAACCUGCCCUUGACUUUGGGAUAACUUCAGGAAACUGGGGCUAAUACCUGAUAGGAGCUCCUGCUGCAUGGUGGGGGUUGGAAAGUUUCGGCGGUUAGGGAUGGAUUCGCGGGUUAUCCGCUUGUUGGUGGGGUAGUGGCUUACCAAGGCGUUGACGGGUAGCCGGCCAGAGAGGGUGAGAGGCCACAUUGAGACUGAGAGAAGGCACAGAUUGCGAAGGGAGGGAGAAGGGGGGAAGAUUGAACAAUGGGUGGAAGCCGGAUGAAGAAAGGCCGUGGGCGGGAUGACGGCCUUCGGGUUGUAAACCGCUUGCGCUAAUGACGAAGCUUUGUGUGACGGUAGUGGGUAAAGAAGCAACGGCUAACUACGUG
This 467-nucleotide ribosomal RNA is filed under the name uncultured bacterium. RNAcentral describes it as "partial 16S ribosomal RNA". It matches the Rfam family "Bacterial small subunit ribosomal RNA", at positions 28 to 507 of the family's 1533-position model. The record is from RNAcentral.